This is a long non-coding RNA of Passer montanus (Eurasian tree sparrow), 328 nucleotides long. RefSeq lists it as uncharacterized. The record is from RefSeq and is a predicted model, not a curated record. Lineage: Eukaryota; Metazoa; Chordata; Aves; Passeriformes; Passeridae. The transcript has 3 exons.
GUUGACCUUGUUCACAUCAUCUAUGGAAUCAUGCCUCUUCUUAGGUAUAGAAACUGUCUGGUCAUGUUGAAUACUAUUCUGGUAAAAAUCUGUGGGAAACUUUGGAAUUGUCAUGGAAACCUUUCAACUGAGAGCUGUCUGGUGCCUCAUUAUCAUUAAUGUUUAUAUACAGCAGGAAUAAAAAAGCCUUAAGAAGAGCAUCUUAGAAAAACUCUAGGAAACUGUUGACAUCCUUUUUGCUUCAUAUAGAGUUAUGUACAGGUUUGUUGGAAGUGCAGCCUUUGUUUGUCCUGGUCUGGAGGCUACUGACAAAGAUCCUUUCUGUCCC